UACGGGGGGGGCAAGCGUUGUUCGGAAUUAUUGGGCGUAAAGAGCUCGUAGGCGGCUUGUCGCGUCGGAUGUGAAAGCCCGGGGCUUAACUCCGGGUCUGCAUUCGAUACGGGCAGGCUAGAGUUCGGUAGGGGAGAUCGGAAUUCCUGGUGUAGCGGUGAAAUGCGCAGAUAUCAGGAGGAACACCGGUGGCGAAGGCGGAUCUCUGGGCCGAUACUGACGCUGAGGAGCGAAAGCGUGGGGAGCGAACAGG
Molecule: ribosomal RNA, 253 nt
Filed under: uncultured bacterium
Lineage: Bacteria
Description: partial 16S ribosomal RNA
Rfam family: Bacterial small subunit ribosomal RNA
Source: RNAcentral